Molecule: ribosomal RNA, 119 nt
Filed under: Aotus nancymaae (Ma's night monkey)
Lineage: Eukaryota; Metazoa; Chordata; Mammalia; Primates; Aotidae
Source: RNAcentral
AUCUACAGCCUUACCACCCUGAAUGUGCCCGCUCUCGUCUGAUCUCGGAAGCUAAGCAGGGUUGGGCCUGGUUAGUACUUGGAUGGGAGACUUCCAGGGAAUACCGGGUGCUGUAGGCU